Molecule: unclassified non-coding RNA, 264 nt
Filed under: uncultured Russula
Lineage: Eukaryota; Fungi; Basidiomycota; Agaricomycetes; Russulales; Russulaceae
Description: sequence contains ITS2
Source: RNAcentral
AUUUCUCAAAAGGCCUUAUCUUCGUAAGGGGGUAAGGGCUUUUGGAUUUGGAGGCUUUCUUGCUGGCUUCACCUUGAAGUGAGCUCCUCCUAAAUGAAUUAGUGGGGGUCUGCUUUGCCGAUCCUUGACGUGAUAAUACCUUUCUACGUCUUGGGUUUGGCACGGUCACUUUGGCACCUGCUUCUAACCGUCUUCAUUGACAAAUGAUGGUGUUCCGGUCUACCACCGCUUCAGUCGGUGGGAGGCUUGACCCACAAAAGAAAA